Molecule: ribosomal RNA, 484 nt
Filed under: uncultured bacterium
Lineage: Bacteria
Description: partial 16S ribosomal RNA
Rfam family: Bacterial small subunit ribosomal RNA
Source: RNAcentral
AUUGAACGCUGGCGGCAGGCCUAACACAUGCAAGUCGAGCGGAUGAAGGGAGCUUGCUCCUGGAUUCAGCGGCGGACGGGUGAGUAAUUCCUAUGAAUCUGCCUGGUAUUGUGGGAUAACGUCCUUAAACGGGCUCUAAUACCGCAUACGUCCUUAUUUAUAAAGUGUUUGAUCUUCUUACCUCUCUCUAUCUUAUGUUCCUAGUUCGUAUUAGCUAGUUGGUUGGGUAAAGGCCUACCAAGGCGACGAUCCGUAACUUGUCUGAGAGGAUGAUCAGUCACACUGGAACUGAGACACGGUACAGACUCCUACGGGAGGCAGCAGUGGGGAAUAUUGGACAAUGGGCGAAAGCCUGAUCCAGCAAUGCCGCGUGUGUGGAGAAGGUCUUAGGAUUGUAAAGAACUUUAAGUUGGGAGGAAGGGAAGUAAGUUAAUACCUUGCUGUUUUGACGUUACCAACAGAAUAAGCACCGGCUAACUUCGUG